RNAcentral lists this ribosomal RNA (713 nucleotides) under Sardiniella elliptica. RNAcentral describes it as "Sardiniella sp. AJD-2021b partial large subunit ribosomal RNA". It matches the Rfam family "Eukaryotic large subunit ribosomal RNA", at positions 73 to 806 of the family's 3401-position model. The record is from RNAcentral. Lineage: Eukaryota; Fungi; Ascomycota; Dothideomycetes; Botryosphaeriales; Botryosphaeriaceae.
AUGCCUUAGUAACGGCGAGUGAAGCGGCAAUAGCUCAAAUUUGAAAGCUGGCCCCUUUGGGGUCCGCGUUGUAAUUUGUAGAGGAUGAUUCGGCGAGGGCUCCCGUCUAAGUCCCCUGGAACGGGGCGUCAUAGAGGGUGAGAAUCCCGUAUGUGAUGGGUUGCCUUAGCCAUGUGAAUCUCCUUCGACGAGUCGAGUUGUUUGGGAAUGCAGCUCUAAAUGGGAGGUAAAUUUCUUCUAAAGCUAAAUACCGGCCAGAGACCGAUAGCGCACAAGUAGAGUGAUCGAAAGAUGAAAAGCACUUUGGAAAGAGAGUUAAAAAGUACGUGAAAUUGUUGAAAGGGAAGCGCUUGCAGCCAGACUUGUCCGCAGUUGCUCAACCGGUCUCCUGACCGGUGUACUCUUCUGCGGCCAGGCCAGCAUCAGUUCGGGCGGUCGGAUAAAGGCCUCGGGAAUGUAGCUCCUCUCGGGGAGUGUUAUAGCCCGGGGCGGAAUGCGGCCAGCCUGGACUGAGGAUCUCGCUUCGGCUAGGAUGCUGGCGUAAUGGCUGUAAGCGGCCCGUCUUGAAACACGGACCAAGGAGUCUAACAUCUAUGCGAGUGUUUGGGUGUCAAACCCAUACGCGUAAUGAAAGUGAACGGAGGUGGGAACCCUCACGGGUGCACCAUCGACCGAUCCUGAUGUCUUCGGAUGGAUUUGAGUAAGAGCAUAGC